GGACGAACGCUGGCGGCGCGCUUUAUACAUGCAAGUCGAACGUGAAGCUCGGAGCUUGCUCCGGGUGGAAAGUGGCGAACGGGUGAGUAUCACGUGAGAAACCUGCCCCGAAGACCGGGAUAACACCGGGAAACCGGUGCUAAUACCGGAUGCCCUCACCGGAUCGCAUGGUCUGGUGAGGAAAUGGAUUCCGCUUCGGGAUGGUCUCGCGGCCUAUCAGCUUGUUGGUGGGGUAAUCGGCCCCACCAAGGCUUCGACGGGUAGCUGGUCUGAGAGGAUGUCCAGCCACACUGGGACUGAGACACGGCCCAGACUCCGUACGGGAGGC
This 328-nucleotide ribosomal RNA is filed under the name uncultured bacterium. RNAcentral's name for it is "bacterial SSU rRNA". It matches the Rfam family "Bacterial small subunit ribosomal RNA", at positions 27 to 349 of the family's 1533-position model. The record is from RNAcentral.